AAACUUUAUUAGGGUAAUAUAAAAAGUCAGGCAAUUGUUUAUAGGGAAAAUACAAGCAGAAGAGCAAAUGUAAACCAUGGAAAAAACGCACUACCGUCCCCUGUGUUCCACCCCAAUUUUUUUUUGCCCAAAUAAGGACGGCUUUCUGGGAAGGCUUAAUAGCCUACUCCUAGCUUUAAAAGCAUGCUCAAUGAAUGAUUUCUUAAAGUGCUUUUAGUCCUGGAAUAGGCUUAAUCUGGGUCUGGGAAACUUCCCAUAGAGCCUCUCAUAGAUGGGCUUCCUUUGAUGUCUGUAUCCUUUUGCUCCAGACAUGAGGAGAGACUGUGACCUGGCCAUAUUCACUGACAUCCCCAAAUCGUUGUCUGAGGGUAUCCAGUUCUUCUGGCCGGAGAACAGUGUAUUGCUGACACCUGGGGAUACUGAGGGGAAACUACUUCCCCGAAACUUCAGCCCUGAAACUAAGACCCACACACGAGUACCUCACACAUGACACACACUCAUGAGGGGAAGGGUGUUAGAUGGGAGGGAUGAUGGAUAGAGAGGGAAGUGAAUAUUGACAAACUAUAGAAAUCUUCUGUUUCAGAGAGUAUUCUGCCACUGGAGUAGGUGAAGAGGCUUAUCUGCGCUUCGGAGGUAAAAGACAUGGCUGAAUUUGUCAUAAGACAGCUGUCGAUUUCCAGUUCUGUCUAGACUGUUUCCAU
Molecule: long non-coding RNA, 701 nt
Organism: Coregonus clupeaformis (lake whitefish)
Lineage: Eukaryota; Metazoa; Chordata; Actinopteri; Salmoniformes; Salmonidae
Exons: 2
Source: RefSeq, a predicted model, not a curated record